RNAcentral lists this ribosomal RNA (274 nucleotides) under uncultured bacterium. Its description in RNAcentral is "partial 16S ribosomal RNA". It matches the Rfam family "Bacterial small subunit ribosomal RNA", at positions 523 to 796 of the family's 1533-position model. The record is from RNAcentral.
AUACGGAGGUGGCAAGCGUUGUUCGGAUUUACUGGGUGUAAAGGUCAUGUAGGCGUCUUAUUAAGUCGGAUGUGAAAUCCCUUGGCUCAACCAAGGAACUGCACUCGAUACUGGUAAGAUUGAGUACGGGAGAGGUAAGCGGAAUUCCGGAAGUAAGGGUGAAAUCUGUAGAUAUCCGGAAGAACACCAUUAGCGAAGGCGGCUUACUGGUCCGAUACUGACGCUGAAAUGAGAAAGCUAGGGGAGCGAACAGGAUUAGAAACCCGGGUAGUCC